This 484-nucleotide ribosomal RNA is filed under the name uncultured Pelotomaculum sp. Its description in RNAcentral is "bacterial SSU rRNA". It matches the Rfam family "Bacterial small subunit ribosomal RNA", at positions 900 to 1382 of the family's 1533-position model. Lineage: Bacteria; Bacillati; Bacillota; Clostridia; Eubacteriales; Desulfotomaculaceae. The record is from RNAcentral.
CUUAAAGGAAUUGACGGGGCCCGCACAAGCGGUGGAGCAUGUGGUUUAAUUCGACGCAACGCGAAGAACCUUACCAGGGCUUGACAUCCCCUGACCGCGUAUGAAAGUACGUUUUCACCCUCGGGUGACAGGGAGACAGGUGGUGCAUGGUUGUCGUCAGCUCGUGUCGUGAGAUGUUGGGUUAAGUCCCGCAACGAGCGCAACCCCUACGUUUAGUUGCUAACGCGUGAAGGCGAGCACUCUAGACGAACUGCCGUUGACAAAACGGAGGAAGGUGGGGAUGACGUCAAAUCAUCAUGCCCCUUAUGCUCUGGGCUACACACGUGCUACAAUGGCCGGUACAGACGGACGCAAAGCCGCGAGGUGGAGCAAAUCCUAAAAAGCCGGUCUCAGUUCGGAUUGCAGGCUGCAAUUCGCCUGCAUGAAGUCGGAAUCGCUAGUAAUCGCAGGUCAGCAUACUGCGGUGAAUACGUUCCCGGGCCUU